AAGCUCGUAGUUGAACCUUGGGCCUGGCUGGCCGGUCCGCCNCACVGCGUGCACUGGUCCGGCCGGGCCUUUCCUUCUGGGGAGCCGCAUGCCCUUCACUGGGUGUGUCGGGGAACCAGGACUUUUACUUUGAAAAAAUUAGAGUGUUCAAAGCAGGCCUAUGCUCGAAUACAUUAGCAUGGAAUAAUAGAAUAGGACGUGUGGUUCUAUUUUGUUGGUUUCUAGGACCGCCGUAAUGAUUAAUAGGGAUAGUCGGGGGCAUCAGUAUUCAAUUGUCAGAGGUGAAAUUCUUGGAUUUAUUGAAGACUAACUACUGCGAAAGCAUUUGCCAAGGAUGUUUUCAUUAAUCAGUGAACGAAAGUUAGGGGAUCGAAGACGAUCAGAUACCGUCGUAGUCUUAACCAUAAACUAUGCCGACUAGGGAUCGGGCGAUGUUAUUUUUUGACUCGCUCGGCACCUUACGAGAAAUCAAAGUUUUUGGGUUCUGGGGGGAGUAUGGUCGCAAGGCUGAAACUUAAAGAAAUUGACGGAAGGGCACCACCAGGAGUGGAGCCUGCGGCUUAAUUUGACUCAACACGGGGAAACUCACCAGGUCCAGACACAAUAAGGAUUGACAGAUUGAGAGCUCUUUCUUGAUUUUGUGGGUGGUGGUGCAUGGCCGUUCUUAGUUGGUGGAGUGAUUUGUCUGCUUAAUUGCGAUAACGAACGAGACCUUAACCUGCUAAAUAGCCAGGCUAGCUUUGGCUGGUCGCCGGCUUCUUAGAGGGACUAUCGGCUCAAGCCCGANGGAAGUUUGAGGCAAUAACAGGUCUGUGAUGCCCCUUANAUGUUCUGGGGCCGCNCNCGCGCUACACUGACAGAACCNAACGAGUUCAUCACCUUUGGCCGAAAAGG
This 894-nucleotide ribosomal RNA is filed under the name Geniculospora sp. 12g-CH10. RNAcentral's name for it is "SSU rRNA". It matches the Rfam family "Eukaryotic small subunit ribosomal RNA", at positions 626 to 1560 of the family's 1831-position model. The record is from RNAcentral. Lineage: Eukaryota; Fungi; Ascomycota; Leotiomycetes; Helotiales; Solenopeziaceae.